RNAcentral lists this long non-coding RNA (2141 nucleotides) under Ornithorhynchus anatinus (platypus). RNAcentral describes it as "lncRNA (ENSOANG00000037762.1)". Lineage: Eukaryota; Metazoa; Chordata; Mammalia; Monotremata; Ornithorhynchidae. The record is from RNAcentral.
GUCAGAGGUCAUGGGUUCGACUUCCGGCUCUGCCACUCGUCAGCUGUGUGACUGUGGGCAAGUCACUUCACUUCUCUGGGCCUCAGUUACCUCAUCUGUAAAAUGGGGAUUAACUGUGAGCCUCACGUGGGACAACCUGAUUACCCUGUAUCUACCCCAGCGCUUAGAACAGUGCUUUGCACAUAGUAAGCGCUUAACAAAUACCAACAUUAUUAUUAAUACGAUGGAAAGAAUGAAUUGAGUGAAUACAGUGAUGAGAAAGAUGGGGUUUGGAUGGGGCGAUGAGCUCUGUUUUGGACACAUUAAGUCUGAGGUAUCUACAGGACAUCCAAAUAGAGGUGUCCAGAAGGCAGGAGGUAAUGAAGACUGCAGAGGAGAGAGAUCAGGGCUAGAGAGGUAGAUAUGGGAACCAUUUGGAAAUCAUCUGCGUAGAGAUGGUUGUUGAAGCCAAGGGAGUGAAUGAGUUCUCCAAGGGAGUGGGCCUGAUAUCAUCAUUCAAUAGUAUUUAUUGAGCGCUUACUAUGUGCAGAGCACUGUACUAAGCGCUUGGAAUGUACGAUAUGUUUCUUUGGCUUGAUUACAGAAACCGUGCCGCUUCUUCGGGCGUCAGAUCCCAUCCUUGUGGUGGAGCCCUCGCUUUGGCCCCCAUCCUCCGGCCCUGGGGUCUUCCGAAAGCAGCCCCAAGCUGGCCCUUGCCGUUGGGCAGAUCCCUGCAGGUUUCCCGCUGGGGGAGCCCGGCGGCCAGCUGCUAUUUCAUCGGGUGGCCAGCAGAGGGCAGCUUGUUUCUGGGAAUUGUAGCCACAGAAGAUGGGCGAAGCAAGGAACUGGUGGAGGCCAAGACUUUUUCUUUCCUCCUCAACCCCGCCCAGGCAAUAGGUGGCCUUGUCAGCACAUCAGUUAGGGGGGUUCCUUCCCAUGCCAUGGAUAAGCUGAUUAGACCACACAUCUUGGGAGAACUAAGGUUGAAGGUUGCCUGGCCGACAGGAGGAAAGGGCUGUGCCCCCACCACAUCAUUUGGCCUGGAGACCCCUAAACUGCAGUAUAUCCCCCAGUGGCUGAAGCGGGGAUCUGGACUGAGAAACUCAGAACUCCUUGGCAUCAUCAGAAGUUGUCUUCAACCCAAAAGAAAUCAAAGGUUUACAGUUCCUGAGUCGUCCGGGGCUCUUCCUUCCAACCAGUCAGCCAAGAAAAAAGGCCAAGAUGAAAGGCAGAAAAGUUCCACUCCCUAUGCUAAAGGUAAGUAAUUUCUAAGUCUUUAAGCAGAGGUCAGAUCCCCUACUCUCACUGGGCACCCUGCCAACACUAAAAAAAGGGCAUGUCAGCCUCUGAAAUCUACCCCGGAACAAGAGUAAUGUAGUGACUUGAAAUAAAAGCUUUUUUUUUUUCCAUUACUUGAGUUAGGAAAGAUGGAUGGUCUUUUCUUUCUCAGGUAGUCUCAUGCUGUAGCCUUUCUGUACCUGGACUCAGGUUGACCCUGAAUGAGGCUGUCCCAUUUAAAAGGCCCUUAACAAUCUAGCUCAACAAUUAUAAAUAGUAUACCUUUCAGGGAUGAAUUUCUUAACUGCGCAGAUCUUUCUAGAGUCAACCAGUAAUGGGGCCUUUCUCAAGAAGUAAGCCUCGUGGAUGGAAUCUGAUAGUUGAGGAUUUGUGAUAAAAAGGCAAGAUCACUGAAAUCCCCCAACUUUUUCUGAAUAGGCCUCUGAUCUCCAGAGUUCCAAUUUAGUCUUACCUGUUCUGUGUGUUAUGUUAUGAAAAUUUACUUUAGCUUUCAAUUCCCUAUCCUGCUGGGAAAGAUUGUUGGCAAGUAAAAAACGUUGCAGAUGAAAAGGAUUUUCUUUGUCCUGAGAAACUCACAUUAUUUAUAAGGGCAACAACCGAAAACAUUUUCCCCACUGGAGGAACUCAGUGUCACAUUAAUGUAGCAGCAAAGGAAUCCUGGCGUCGAAUUAGGGAAGUGAAGUCAGUAAUAAUUGUGGUAUUGGUUAAGCACUUAAUAUGGGCCAAGCAAUAUUCUCAGUGCCAGGGUAGAGUCAAGAUAAUCAGGUAGGUCACAGUCCUUGUCCCGACUGGGGCUCACAGUCUAAGUAGGAGAAGUAAUGGUAUUUAAUUCCCAUUUCAUAGGGAAGGAAACUGAGGUAUAG